This 301-nucleotide ribosomal RNA is filed under the name uncultured bacterium. Its description in RNAcentral is "partial 16S ribosomal RNA". It matches the Rfam family "Bacterial small subunit ribosomal RNA", at positions 509 to 807 of the family's 1533-position model. The record is from RNAcentral.
CAGCCGCCACGGUAAUACGAACCGUGCGAACGUUAUUCGGAAUCACUGGGCUUAAAGCGCGUGUAGGCGGAUGGGAGCGUCGGCCUCUGAAAUCCCCCGGCUCAACCGGGGAAGUGGAGCCGAAACGACCCGUCUGGAGGGACGUAGGGGGACCUGGAACUUCCGGUGGAGCGGUGAAAUGCGUUGAGAUCGGAAGGAACGCCCGUGGCGAAAGCGAGGUCCUGGACGUCUGCUGACGCUGAGACGCGAAAGCCAGGGGAGCAAAUGGGAUUAGAUACCCGGGUAGUCCCUGUCUCUUAUA